RNA transcript from Sapajus apella (tufted capuchin), 2287 nucleotides. It is a transcript of the gene named phosphomannomutase 2, with no coding region annotated. NCBI's taxonomy places the organism in Eukaryota, Metazoa, Chordata, Mammalia, Primates, Cebidae. The transcript is spliced from 10 exons. The record is from RefSeq and is a predicted model, not a curated record.
UCUUCCCGACGUGCCCUGCAGCUCGGGAGCCGAACCCGGAAGUUCCGGGCCGAGCUCCGGAUGCCAACGAGUCUCGUAAGGUGCGGCUAGAAACUGGGGACAUGGCAGCGCCCGGCCCAGCGCUCUGCCUCUUCGACGUGGAUGGGACCCUCACCGCUCCGCGGCAGAAAAUUACCAAAGAAAUGGAUGACUUCUUGCAAAAAUUGAGGCAGAAGAUCAAAAUCGGAGUGGUAGGCGGGUCGGACUUUGAGAAAGUACAGGAGCAACUGGGAAAUGAUGUGCUUGAAAAAUAUGAUUAUGUGUUUCCAGAAAAUGGCUUGGUAGCAUACAAAGAUGGGAAACUCUUGUGUAAACAGAAUAUUCAAAGUCAUCUGGGUGAGGCCCUAAUCCAAGAUUUAAUCAACUACUGUCUGAGCUACAUUGCAAAAAUCAAACUCCCAAAGAAGAGGGGUACUUUCAUUGAAUUCCGAAGUGGGAUGUUAAAUGUGUCCCCUAUUGGAAGAAGCUGCAGCCAAGAAGAACGCAUUGAGUUCUAUGAACUCGAUAAAAAAGAAAAUAUAAGACAAAAGUUUGUAGCAGAUCUACAGAAAGAGUUCGCGGGAAAAGGCCUCACAUUUUCCAUAGGAGGCCAGAUCAGCUUUGAUGUCUUUCCCGAUGGAUGGGACAAGAGAUACUGCCUGCGACACGUGGAAAAUGACGGUUAUAGGACCAUUCACUUCUUUGGAGACAAAACCAUGCCAGGUGGCAAUGACCAUGAGAUCUUCACAGACCCCAGGACCGUGGGCCACUCCGUGACGGCGCCUGAAGACACACGCAAGAUCUGCGAAGAGCUCUUCUGACACCGGGGCAGGAGUUGCGGGGUCCUGGCUGACAAGGCAGCAUGGGGCAUUCAGUGGCCAGAGCCAAGGGCCCGCCCACAUGUGCUCACCCAUCCACAGCCAGCCCAGCCAGGCUAUGCGCCCUGUGCCAGGCACAUGUAGUCUGGACCUCCACCCCUGACAUGCCAUGCCUCCACUUCCACUGCCAGAGGCUUCCAGAAGGAAGGAGAAAACAUUUGUCAAGAACGGCUCAGAAGAACGCCUCCCACAAAAGGUUUUCUUAAAGUAUUGCGUCAAAGCAAGACAGCUGAGUCUUACUCAAACUUGUUUUAACUGGACAUGGAAGGUUGCUGCUGUGUCCCCGCCUGCGCAGGGCUGCCCUCAGGCCGGCUUCCUGGGGGUUACUCUAGGGGCGUCUGCUUGCUAAAUAACAGCUAACUGAUGCAUGUGCAGCGCUUCCUGGUGCCUUCCACGUGUACCCAGAGCAGGAAGUUCCACACAUAGCAGGUAAGAGCACACCCGCCAAGGCUCCAAGCCUGGUUCUGCUGCUACUCGCUGCUGCAUGACUUAGGGUAAGUUCAUCUUCUCUUCAGUUUGUUCAUCUGUCACAUGGGACAGUCCUUACCACAUAUGGCAUUUAAAGCACUUCGAAUAGUAAUGUGAGCCAUUACUAAUUCAGUACCUCCCUCCCAACCCAGAACCUUGUAAGGCAGGGACAGUCAUUCCCUCUGCCUUAGGGGUUGGCAGGAUAAAGCAACUUAAACACAGUAGGCAAGUUUUGAGCCAGAGCAAAGCACAGAGGUUGCACCCAGGCCAGCCUAUGGCUGUUGAAAGUUACCAUCCCCAGCACUGCAGAAGCUGACCCUGAGCUCAAGGUCACCCAGGGCUGAGGAAGCCUCAGGGGAAAGGCCUGGGUUGAACCUGAGCAGCCGGGUGAGUGCAGGGCAGACCUCUGGUUCCCUGGAGGGAGAGGCUAGUCAGGAAGCUGAGCUUGAACCUGAUCCUGAGGGAGGGGCCCAGAGCAUGCUCCUGAUCUGUCCACCUGUCAUCCCGGAAGGUCUCCACCUACUUGAAGGGGAGUGCCCAUAGGGGCCAGGAGAGGAACUGGUUGGGCAGAUGUUGCCGUAAUCAGGACAUAUCCAGGCAUACGUGGUUUUGAAUCACUUCCUCUCCACCCCUCCCAAGUGUUCUGGGUCUGGGCCCCAGCAGGCCACCUCAGCCCAGGCAGGCUCCUCCAACCCUAACCAGAGGCAGUUGGGCCUUCAGACUUCCCUGCAACCUUCACGCUGCUCUCCACAGCACCCCAAAUUCAAGAUCAGAAUUCACUGUUCACCACCACCUUCACCCAAGGCUGGUUUCCCAAAUGUCUUCCCAGUCCCACCUUGAGUUUUUGGGGGUUUUGUUUGUUUGCUUUUAGAGGCGAAGAAGUCUCUUUGUUGUCGCCCGGGCUGGAGUGCAGUGAUGCAAUC